ACUUAAAUUGAAGAGUUUGAUCAUGGCUCAGAUUGAACGCUGGCGGCAGGCCUAACACAUGCAAGUCGAGCGGUAACACAGGGAGCUUGCUCCUGGGUGACGAGCGGCGGACGGGUGAGUAAUGUCUGGGAAACUGCCUGAUGGAGGGGGAUAACUACUGGAAACGGUAGCUAAUACCGCAUAACGUCGCAAGACCAAAGAGGGGGACCUUCGGGCCUCUUGCCAUCAGAUGUGCCCAGGUGGGAUUAGCUAGUAGGUGGGGUAACGGCUCACCUAGGCGACGAUCCCUAGCUGGUCUGAGAGGAUGACCAGCCACACUGGAACUGAGACACGGUCCAGACUCCUACGGGAGGC
This 354-nucleotide ribosomal RNA is filed under the name Enterobacter cloacae. Its description in RNAcentral is "bacterial SSU rRNA". It matches the Rfam family "Bacterial small subunit ribosomal RNA", at positions 1 to 349 of the family's 1533-position model. The record is from RNAcentral. Lineage: Bacteria; Pseudomonadati; Pseudomonadota; Gammaproteobacteria; Enterobacterales; Enterobacteriaceae.